GGGGCUGUAGCUCAGCUGGAUAGAGCGGACGCCUCCUAAGCGUCAGGCCGCCGGUUCGAACCUGGCCAGUCCCA
RNAcentral lists this transfer RNA (74 nucleotides) under Calothrix sp. SM1_7_51. RNAcentral describes it as "tRNA-Arg". It matches the Rfam family "tRNA". Rfam says of the family: Transfer RNA (tRNA) molecules are approximately 80 nucleotides in length. Their secondary structure includes four short double-helical elements and three loops (D, anti-codon, and T loops). Lineage: Bacteria; Bacillati; Cyanobacteriota; Cyanophyceae; Nostocales; Calotrichaceae. The record is from RNAcentral.